UUUCCUAACAUAUUUAAUGAAAUAAAUCAAACAAAGAAGAAUGUCCCAGUUUCACAAUCUAGCAUCAAAUCUUCAAAGAGAGAGCAUUAUAAAAUCUAGGUUUUAAGACCAAAGUUAAUCCACGAUCAAAUUAAAUCAUAUGAUCAAUAUUGUAUCUGAAACUUAGAUUUUUAUUUUUAAAACAUAGAUCUCUUAAACCAAUUAAAAUAUGAUAGUUAAUUUUGGUUUUCAAUUUGAU
Molecule: long non-coding RNA, 238 nt
Filed under: Vitis vinifera (wine grape)
Lineage: Eukaryota; Viridiplantae; Streptophyta; Magnoliopsida; Vitales; Vitaceae
Description: long non-coding RNA (VVIN_LNC002359)
Source: RNAcentral